CAUUAAGAAGCUAUGAACCAGCACUAGCCUUUUAAGCUAGAGAUAGAGGCCGCACAUCCUCCUUAAUGU
This 69-nucleotide transfer RNA is filed under the name Pachyramphus minor. RNAcentral describes it as "tRNA-Lys". Lineage: Eukaryota; Metazoa; Chordata; Aves; Passeriformes; Tyrannidae. The record is from RNAcentral.